GACGAACGCUGGCGGCGUGCUUAACACAUGCAAGUCGAACGGAAAGGACCUGCUUUUGUGGGGUGCUCGAGUGGCGAACGGGUGAGUAACACGUGAGUAACCUGCCCUUGACUUUGGGAUAACUUCAGGAAACUGGGGCUAAUACCGGAUAGGAGCUCCUGCUGCAUGGUGGGGGUUGGAAAGUUUCGGCGGUUGGGGAUGGACUCGCGGCUUAUCAGCUUGUUGGUGGGGUAGUGGCUUACCACGGCUUUGACGGGUAGCCGGCCUGAGAGGGUGACCGGCCACAUUGGGACUGAGAUACGGCACAGACUCCUACGGGAGGCAGCAGUGGGGAGUAUUGCACAAUGGGAGGAAGCCUGAUGCAGCAACGCCGCGUGCGGGAUGACGGCCUGCGGGUUGUAAACCGCUUUCGCCUGUGACGAAGCGUGAGUGACGGUAAUGGGUAAAGAAGCACCGGCUAACUACGUG
This 468-nucleotide ribosomal RNA is filed under the name uncultured bacterium. Its description in RNAcentral is "partial 16S ribosomal RNA". It matches the Rfam family "Bacterial small subunit ribosomal RNA", at positions 28 to 507 of the family's 1533-position model. The record is from RNAcentral.